Molecule: small RNA, 86 nt
Filed under: Flavobacterium terrae
Lineage: Bacteria; Pseudomonadati; Bacteroidota; Flavobacteriia; Flavobacteriales; Flavobacteriaceae
Description: Flavo-1 RNA
Rfam family: Flavo-1 RNA
Source: Rfam by way of RNAcentral
UUUUAGCCCCGAUAGUAGCGACAUCCUUUUUGAUGGCUGAGGCUCUCGAAGCCAUCAAAAAGAUAUAGCGAAUAGCGGGAAAUAGC